RNAcentral lists this ribosomal RNA (492 nucleotides) under uncultured bacterium. Its description in RNAcentral is "partial 16S ribosomal RNA". It matches the Rfam family "Bacterial small subunit ribosomal RNA", at positions 29 to 507 of the family's 1533-position model. The record is from RNAcentral.
AGUGAACGCUGGCGGUAGGCCUAACACAUGCAAGUCGAACGGCAGCACAGUAAGAUCUUGCUCUUACGGGUGGCGAGUGGCGUACGGGUGAGGAAUACAUCGGAAUCUACUUUUUCUUUUGUGUUAACGUAGGUAAACUUACGCUAAUACCUCAUUCGACCUACCUUUUUAAUCAGUGGUUCUUCUGACCUUUCGCGUUUGUAUUAGCCGAUGUCGGAUUAGCUAGUUUGCGGGGUAAAGGCCCACCAAGGCGACGAUCCGUAGCUGGUCUGAGAGGAUGAUAAGCGACACUGGAAAUGAGACAAGGACAAGAGUACUACGGGAGGAAGCAGAGGGGAAUAGUGGAAAAUGGGCGGAAGCAUGAUACAGCGAUACAGCGUGGGUGAAGAAGGCAUUCGGGUUGUAAAGCCCUUUUGUGGGGAAAGAAAAGCAGCAGGUUAAUACCACGCUGUACUGACGGUAACGAAAGAAUAAGCACCGGCUAACUUCGUG